UGUGGCUAGAAGAAUUCUAUUUUAAUUCAUCAGGUCAAAGAGGUAGGAAGGGCACAAUGCCUGUGCUGUUUGUUCUUUUGAAUCAAAAUUGAGCUGUUGUUUUAAGUCCUUUUCAUUGAUCAAAAACGAAAGUUAAAGGCUCGAAGGCGAUCAGAUACCGCCGUAGUUCUAAGCAUAAACGAUCCCAGUCAGUGAUCCGGCUAUGUUCCUCAAAUGACACGCCGGGCUGCUUUGAGGAAACCUAAGCUUUUGGGUUCCG
Molecule: non-coding RNA, 259 nt
Filed under: Stegodyphus mimosarum
Lineage: Eukaryota; Metazoa; Arthropoda; Arachnida; Araneae; Eresidae
Description: eukaryotic small subunit ribosomal RNA
Rfam family: Eukaryotic small subunit ribosomal RNA
Source: Rfam by way of RNAcentral